UAGGGAAUCUUCGGCAAUGGGGGAACCCUGACCGAGCAACGCCGCGUGAGUGAAGAAGGUUUUCGGAUCGUAAAGCUCUGUUGUUAAGGAAGAACGAGUGUGAGAAUGGAAAGUUCAUACUGUGACGGUACUUAACCAGAAAGGGACGGCUAACUACGUGCCAGCAGCCGCGGUAAUACGUAGGUCCCGAGCGUUGUCCGGAUUUAUUGGGCGUAAAGCGAGCGCAGGCGGUUAGAUAAGUCUGAAGUUAAAGGCAGUGGCUCAACCAUUGUAGGCUUUGGAAACUGUUUAACUUGAGUGCAGAAGGGGAGAGUGGAAUUCCAUGUGUAGCGGUGAAAUGCGUAGAUAUAUGGAGGAACACCGGUGGCGAAAAGCGGCUCUCUGGUCUGUAACUGACGCUGAGGCUCGAAAGCGUGGGGAGCGAACAGGAUUAGAUACCCUGGUAGUCCACGCCGUAAACGAUGAGUGCUAGGUGUUAGGUCCUUUCCGGGACUUAGUGCCGCAGCUAACGCAUUAAGCACUCCGCCUGGGGAGUACGACCGCAAGGUUGAAACUCAAAGGAAUU
RNAcentral lists this ribosomal RNA (565 nucleotides) under uncultured bacterium. RNAcentral's name for it is "partial 16S ribosomal RNA". It matches the Rfam family "Bacterial small subunit ribosomal RNA", at positions 355 to 911 of the family's 1533-position model. The record is from RNAcentral.